RNAcentral lists this small RNA (1713 nucleotides) under Pongo abelii (Sumatran orangutan). RNAcentral describes it as "retained intron". The record is from RNAcentral. Lineage: Eukaryota; Metazoa; Chordata; Mammalia; Primates; Hominidae.
ACACAAAGGCUGCUGCUGCCGCCAGAGGAAGGGCUGCUCUGCACGCACCUAUGUGGAAACUAAAGCCCAGAGAGAAAGUCUGACUUGCUCCACAGCCAGUGAGUGACUGCAGCAGCACCAGAAUCCGGUCUGUUUCCUGUUUGGCUCUUCUACCACUACAGCUUGGGAUCUCGAACUUCACCGCGUUGGGGGAGGCGGAGGCGCGGCGCUGCGCCCGACGAGAGGAGCUGCUGGCUCGAGGCUGCCCGCUGGAGGAGCUGGAGGAGCCCCGCGGCCAGCAGGAGGUACUGCAGGACCAGCCGCUCAGCCAGGGCGCCCGCGGAGAGGGUGCCACCCAGCUGGCGCCGCAGCGGGUCCGGGUCACGCUGCGGCCUGGGGAGCCCCAGCAGCUCCAGGUCCGCUUCCUUCGUGCUGAGGGAUACCCGGUGGACCUGUACUACCUUAUGGACCUGAGCUACUCCAUGAAGGACGACCUGGAACGCGUGCGCCAGCUCGGGCACGCUCUGCUGGUCGGGCUGCAGGAAGUCACCCAUUCUGUGCGCAUUGGUGAGCCGAGCGCUGCCUCCCGCCCUGUUAGCCCUUGCCUAUUCAACCACUGCCCUAGCCUCUGCCAACAUCCUGGACUCACAAGGGCCCCAACUUGCCCUCCCAGUUGUUGACAGGCCUAGCCAGGCCACAGGUUCGUUCCUGCAUAUCUCCCUAGACACCCAUCUUCUAGGUCAGAGCUGGAGAGGACUCAAGAGACUGUCCGUUUUACACAUCUGAGACCCAGCGUCUGGAGAGACUGUGCUUGGGCACUCUCUGGGCCUGGACAGCUGCCCUGAGCCUACCAACCUGGAACCUGCCCUGAUGCAAGUCUCCCUGGAGAUGCCACUGUCCCUGGCUCCACAUUCUGUGCCAACUCUCUAUUCAAAUUUCCUUCAUUUGCCUCAUGCUGCUACCAUAUCACAUACCCGGGCCUUCUUCCGCCUUCUGGAAGUUCCCGUUUGCCCUGAAGUUCCCAUUUGCCCAGGAAGUUGUUUCCUCCUCUUAAUGUCUUCUACCUGCCACUUCCCUGAGCCAGUGGUCUCAUUGCUUUGCUUGCCAGUUACCAGGUCCCUGCCCCCUAGGUGCACUCUCUCCCAUCACCGUCCUCCCCACCCCACUUCCCAUAGAGCGCUCUCAUGGGUCCUCUGUUGCUGCCCUGCGACUUCUGGCACAACCUUCAUUCCUCUCCUCUCCCAGGUUUUGGUUCCUUUGUGGACAAAACGGUGCUGCCCUUUGUGAGCACAGUACCCUCCAAGCUGCGCCACCCCUGCCCCACCCGGCUGGAGCGCUGCCAGUCACCCUUCAGCUUUCACCAUGUGCUGUCCCUAACGGGGGACGCGCAAGCCUUCGAGCGGGAGGUGGGGCGCCAGAGUGUGUCCGGCAAUCUGGACUCCCCUGAAGGUGGCUUCGAUGCCAUUCUGCAGGCUGCACUCUGCCAGGUGAGGAGGUGGGGCGGGGAUCUGAGCCUGGAGGUCUGUUUGGGAACAGGACUGCCCCUUAUGGUUGUGUAGUGCACAGUUCUAGGGGGUGCCAUUCAUACCAUAGUUGCUGUAGUUUGUAUACUUAACAAUUACCUGGUGGGUUGGAGUAAAAUAUCUUGAGAAGGCGGCAUGUUUUUCUAAUUCACAAGUAAGCCUCCACUAGCAGCAGCCUUCUUUAGGGGGCUGGGGAGAGCAGGGAGAAGCA